CCUACGGGGGGCUGCAGUGGGGAAUAUUGGACAAUGGGGGCAACCCUGAUCCAGCCAUGCCGCGUGUGUGAAGAAGGCCCUCGGGUUGUAAAGCACUUUCAGUGAGGAAGAACGCCUGGUGGUUAAUACCCAUCAGGAAAGACAUCACUCACAGAAGAAGCACCGGCUAACUCCGUGCCAGCAGCCGCGGUAAUACGGAGGGUGCGAGCGUUAAUCGGAAUUACUGGGCGUAAAGCGCGCGUAGGUGGCUUGAUAAGCCGGUUGUGAAAGCCCCGGGCUCAACCUGGGAACGGCAUCCGGAACUGUCAAGCUAGAGUGCAGGAGAGGAAGGUAGAAUUCCCGGUGUAGUGGUGAAAUGCGUAGAGAUCGGGAGGAAUACCAGUGGCGAAGGCGGCCUUCUGGACUGACACUGACACUGAGGUGCGAAAGCGUGGGUAGCAAACAGGAUUAGAUACCCGAGUAGUC
This 465-nucleotide ribosomal RNA is filed under the name Vreelandella stevensii. RNAcentral describes it as "partial 16S ribosomal RNA". It matches the Rfam family "Bacterial small subunit ribosomal RNA", at positions 338 to 795 of the family's 1533-position model. The record is from RNAcentral. Lineage: Bacteria; Pseudomonadati; Pseudomonadota; Gammaproteobacteria; Oceanospirillales; Halomonadaceae.